UACAGAGGUCUCAAGCGUUGUUCGGAUUCAUUGGGCGUAAAGGGUGCGUAGGCGGCGCAGUAAGUCGGGUGUGAAAUCUUGGAGCUUAACUCCGAAACUGCAUUCGAUACUACCGUGCUUGAGGACUGGAGAGGAGACUGGAAUUUACGGUGUAGCGGUGAAAUGCGUAGAUAUCGUAAGGAAGACCAGUGGCGAAGGCGGGUCUCUGGACAGUUCCUGACGCUGAGGCACGAAGGCCAGGGGAGCAAACGGG
Molecule: ribosomal RNA, 253 nt
Filed under: uncultured bacterium
Lineage: Bacteria
Description: partial 16S ribosomal RNA
Rfam family: Bacterial small subunit ribosomal RNA
Source: RNAcentral